This 497-nucleotide ribosomal RNA is filed under the name uncultured bacterium. RNAcentral describes it as "partial 16S ribosomal RNA". It matches the Rfam family "Bacterial small subunit ribosomal RNA", at positions 28 to 507 of the family's 1533-position model. The record is from RNAcentral.
GACGAACGCUGGCGGCGUGCCUAAUACAUGCCAGUUGAGCGCUGAAGGUUGGUACUUGUACCGACUGGAUGAGCAGCGAACGGGUGAGUAACGCGUGGGGAAUCUGCCUUUGAGCGGGGGACAACAUUUGGAAACGAAUGCUAAUACCGCAUAAAAACUUUAAACACAAGUUUUAAGUUUGAAAGAUGCAAUUGCAUCACUCAAAGAUGAUCCCGCGUUGUAUUAGCUAGUUGGUGAGGUAAAGGCUCACCAAGGCGAUGAUACAUAGCCGACCUGAGAGGGUGAUCGGCCACAUUGGGACUGAGACACGGCCCAAACUCCUACGGGAGGCAGCAGUAGGGAAUCUUCGGCAAUGGACGAAAGUCUGACCGAGCAACGCCGCGUGAGUGAAGAAGGUUUUCGGAUCGUAAAACUCUGUUGGUAGAGAAGAACGGUGGUGAGAGUGGAAAGCUCAUCAAGUGACGGUAACUACCCAGAAAGGGACGGCUAACUACGUG